This 568-nucleotide long non-coding RNA is filed under the name Pan troglodytes (chimpanzee). RNAcentral's name for it is "long non-coding RNA NONPTRT014461". The record is from RNAcentral. Lineage: Eukaryota; Metazoa; Chordata; Mammalia; Primates; Hominidae.
CUGAAUGUACACAUAAUAUUGUGCUUUUUGGUAGCUCUGCGGUCAUAAGAAAAUCGGAUGUGUCAGCCAGUGCCUUCUGGGUCCUGGCUCCGUUUUCCCGUGUAGGCUUUUCCCUGGCUCCACUUGUGAGCCUGCUGGUGCCUCGCCAGGCCAGACUCCCAUGGUAGAGUCAUUAUCAGUAAAAUCAGUUCAUCGUAGUGAUUACUGUAAACGAGACUGUGUCCUGCCAGUUAACCCUGUCCUGGCAGGAAAGAAUCCUCAUCCUCUAGAACAUCCCGUGAAUCUCAUUUUGAGUUAUUUAUCCAAAGGAGGUUGAGAUCUGAGGUUCUGACCCCUCCCACUGUAUGAUCUAUGUAGAUGUGUGGUGUCAGUGCAGAUGUGGGGCAAAUACUAAACCACCUUGAUGUUCAGACACAUUUUGGCCGAAGACAUUUUGGAAGUGGAGCCCUGGAGCUGAAUGCUGCUCAGGGGUAGAGGUGUCAGAGUUCACCAUUCCCAGAAAGGGCCGUGAGGCUUGAAGUCAUCACAGGACGAAUGCCUGCCCUCUGGUCAGCCGUGUUUCUCCCCA